This 549-nucleotide ribosomal RNA is filed under the name uncultured bacterium. RNAcentral describes it as "partial 16S ribosomal RNA". It matches the Rfam family "Bacterial small subunit ribosomal RNA", at positions 355 to 895 of the family's 1533-position model. The record is from RNAcentral.
UGGGGAAUUUUGGACAAUGGGCGAAAGCCUGAUCCAGCAAUGCCGCGUGUGUGAAGAAGGCCUUCGGGUUGUAAAGCACUUUUGUCCGGAAAGAAAUCCUUGGCUCUAAUACAGUCGGGGGAUGACGGUACCGGAAGAAUAAGCACCGGCUAACUACGUGCCAGCAGCCGCGGUAAUACGUAGGGUGCAAGCGUUAAUCGGAAUUACUGGGCGUAAAGCGUGCGCAGGCGGUUUGCUAAGACCGAUGUGAAAUCCCCGGGCUCAACCUGGGAACUGCAUUGGUGACUGGCAGGCUAGAGUAUGGCAGAGGGGGGUUAGAAUUCCACGUGUAGCAGUGAAAUGCGUAGAGAUGUGGAGGAAUACCGAUGGCGAAGGCAGCCCCCUGGGCCAAUACUGACGCUCAUGCACGAAAGCGUGGGGAGCAAACAGGAUUCAGAUACCCUGGUAGUCCACGCCCUAAACGAUGUCAACUAGUUGUUGGGGAUUCAUUUCCUUAGUAACGUAGCUAACGCGUGAAGUUGACCGCCUGGGGAGUACGGUCGCAAGAUU